UUAAAUUAUGUGACUUACAAUUUUGGAAAGCAACGUUUAACUGAUUUUGAGUUUACUUAAUAUUUUUAUCUUGUUUACUUUCCAGGGGGUGCAAGUGCUCAGGUCCUAUUACAUACACAACAGCAUAUCAGUUUAUGCCUCAAAUAUAAAGCGAAGAGAAAAUCAAUCAACUCGAGGUCAUACAUUUUGCAUCAAGAAACUGGGUCCUACACUGACCACCCUUGGUAUUUUCGAGUAAAUCUCGUGCACACUUGUUUCUGUGCAUCUGUGUGUGUUAAAUCUUCGCGUUUACAAUUUUUGUACAUAUGCUCUAAUAGAUCAAAAGAUAUAUAUAAGGACCCUGACCCUGUCAAGAAUGAGGAGAUGUCCCCUAUUUCUAUUUAUGGACGAGACAUCUAUAUUUCGUGAUCCAUCAAGACAGGAAGAAAUUGAUUUCUAC
RNAcentral lists this long non-coding RNA (439 nucleotides) under Olea europaea subsp. europaea. The record is from RNAcentral. Lineage: Eukaryota; Viridiplantae; Streptophyta; Magnoliopsida; Lamiales; Oleaceae.